UGGGGAAUAUUGCACAAUGGGCGAAAGCCUGAUGCAGCGACGCCGCGUGGGGGAUGAAGGCCUUCGGGUUGUAAACCCCUUUCAGCAGGGAAGAAGCGAAAGUGACGGUACCUGCAGAAGAAGCGCCGGCUAACUACGUGCCAGCAGCCGCGGUAAUACGUAGGGCGCAAGCGUUGUCCGGAAUUAUUGGGCGUAAAGAGCUCGUAGGUGGUUUGUCGCGUCUGCUGUGAAAACCCGAGGCUCAACCUCGGGCCUGCAGUGGGUACGGGCAGACUAGAGUGCGGUAGGGGAGAUUGGAAUUCCUGGUGUAGCGGUGGAAUGCGCAGAUAUCAGGAGGAACACCGAUGGCGAAGGCAGAUCUCUGGGCCGUAACUGACGCUGAGGAGCGAAAGCAUGGGGAGCGAACA
RNAcentral lists this ribosomal RNA (407 nucleotides) under uncultured Actinotalea sp. Its description in RNAcentral is "bacterial SSU rRNA". It matches the Rfam family "Bacterial small subunit ribosomal RNA", at positions 355 to 774 of the family's 1533-position model. Lineage: Bacteria; Bacillati; Actinomycetota; Actinomycetes; Micrococcales; Cellulomonadaceae. The record is from RNAcentral.